UGGGGAAUAUUGCGCAAUGGGCGAAAGCCUGACGCAGCAACGCCGCGUGAGUGAUGAAGGCCUUCGGGUCGUAAAGCUCUGUCGGAGGGAACGAAUGCUCCUGAAGUUAACAGCCUCAGGAGGUGACGGUACCCUCAAAGGAAGCACCGGCUAACUCUGUGCCAGCAGCCGCGGUAAUACAGAGGGUGCAAGCGUUAAUCGGAAUUACUGGGCGUAAAGGGUGCGUAGGUGGUUUGAUAAGUUGGGUGUGAAAGUCCUGGGCUCAACCUGGGGACUGCGCUCAAUACUGUCAAGCUAGAGUACUGUAGAGGAAGGUGGAAUUUCCAGUGUAGCGGUGAAAUGCGUAGAUAUUGGAAGGAACAUCAGUGGCGAAGGCGACUUUCUGGACAGAUACUGACACUGAGGCACGAAAGCGUGGGGAGCAAACAGGAUUAGAUACCCGCGUAGUCCCUGAGCGGGCUGGCAAGGCGCAU
Molecule: ribosomal RNA, 473 nt
Filed under: uncultured bacterium
Lineage: Bacteria
Description: bacterial SSU rRNA
Rfam family: Bacterial small subunit ribosomal RNA
Source: RNAcentral